UUAAUUAAAACCAAAAAGAGGUAUUUUAUUGUUAAUAAAAUUAUUGAAUAAARUUCUAAUUAAA
Molecule: transfer RNA, 64 nt
Filed under: Thampoa tiani
Lineage: Eukaryota; Metazoa; Arthropoda; Insecta; Hemiptera; Cicadellidae
Description: tRNA-Asn
Source: RNAcentral